RNAcentral lists this ribosomal RNA (253 nucleotides) under uncultured bacterium. RNAcentral describes it as "partial 16S ribosomal RNA". It matches the Rfam family "Bacterial small subunit ribosomal RNA", at positions 524 to 776 of the family's 1533-position model. The record is from RNAcentral.
UACGUAGGGGGCAAGCGUUGUCCGGAUUUAUUGGGCGUAAAGAGCGUGUAGGCGGUUCGGUAGGUCCGUUGUGAAAACUCGAGGCUCAACCUCGAGACGCCGAUGGAAACCCUCGAACUAGAGUCCGGAAGAGGAGAAUGGAAUUCCUGGUGUAGCGGUGAAAUGCGCAGAUAUCAGGAAGAACACCCGUGGCUAAGGCGGUUCUCUAGUACGGUACUGACGCUGAGACGCGAAAGCGCGGGGAGCGAACAGG